RNAcentral lists this ribosomal RNA (470 nucleotides) under uncultured bacterium. RNAcentral describes it as "bacterial SSU rRNA". It matches the Rfam family "Bacterial small subunit ribosomal RNA", at positions 330 to 793 of the family's 1533-position model. The record is from RNAcentral.
AGAGCACUCCUACGGGAGGCAGCAGUGGGGAAUAUUGCACAAUGGGCGCAAGCCUGAUGCAGCCAUGCCGCGUGUAUGAAGAAGGCCUUCGGGUUGUAAAGUACUUUCAGCAGUGAGGAAGGUGGGUAUGUUAAUAGCAUACUCAUUUGACGUUAGCUGCAGAAGAAGCACCGGCUAACUCCGUGCCAGCAGCCGCGGUAAUACGGAGGGUGCGAGCGUUAAUCGGAAUUACUGGGCGUAAAGCGCAUGCAGGUGGUUUGUUAAGUCAGAUGUGAAAGCCCGGGGCUCAACCUCGGAAUUGCAUUUGAAACUGGCAAACUAGAGUACUGUAGAGGGGGUAGAAUUUCAGGUGUAGCGGUGAAAUGCGUAGAGAUCUGAAGGAAUACCGGUGGCGAAGGCGGCCCCCUGGACAGAUACUGACACUCAGAUGCGAAAGCGUGGGGAGCAAACAGGAUUAGAUACCCUGGUAG